AUACGUAGGGGGCAAGCGUUAUCCGGAAUUACUGGGUGUAAAGCGCUCGUAGGUUGGCUUUGUAAGUCAGGUGUGAAAGCCCACGGCUCAACCGUGGAAUUGCACUUGAUACUGCAUUGCUUGAGUUCGGGAGAGGGUAGUGGAAUUCCAGGUGUAGGAGUGAAAUCCGUAGAGAUCUGGAGGAACACCAGUGGCGAAGGCGACUACCUGGACCGAUACUGACACUGAGGAGCGAAAGCGUGGGGAGC
RNAcentral lists this ribosomal RNA (248 nucleotides) under uncultured bacterium. Its description in RNAcentral is "partial 16S ribosomal RNA". It matches the Rfam family "Bacterial small subunit ribosomal RNA", at positions 523 to 769 of the family's 1533-position model. The record is from RNAcentral.